Molecule: long non-coding RNA, 243 nt
Filed under: Elaeis guineensis (African oil palm)
Lineage: Eukaryota; Viridiplantae; Streptophyta; Magnoliopsida; Arecales; Arecaceae
Description: long non-coding RNA (EGUI_LNC080058)
Source: RNAcentral
CAGUUCGUCCCUGUUCGGGACCACGACGAACUCCAAUCCCUGAGAGGAACCAUAGAAGAGCUAUCUGUCGUCCGUGGGGAGGGAAGGACCGAGCUGCAGCAGUAGAAGAUCCAGCUGGUAUACGAGCAGCAGGCGGUCAAGGAUGCGAAGGCAGAGUCUGAGGUCCUGAGAAAAAGGCUCCGAGAGGCAGAGAAUGAAAGCCAAUGGUUUCAUCGAAGGUAUAUGGAGGUGCUAAUGAGAGAG